UACAGAGGUCUCAAGCGUUGUUCGGAUUCAUUGGGCGUAAAGGGUGCGUAGGCGGCGCGGUAAGUCGGGUGUGAAAUUUCGAGGCUUAACUUCGAAACUGCAUUCGAUACUGCCGUGCUUGAGGACUGGAGAGGAGACUGGAAUUUACGGUGUAGCGGUGAAAUGCGUAGAUAUCGUAAGGAAGACCAGUGGCGAAGGCGGGUCUCUGGGCCGAUACUGACGCUGAGGAGCGAAAGCGUGGGGAGCGAACAGG
This 253-nucleotide ribosomal RNA is filed under the name uncultured bacterium. RNAcentral's name for it is "partial 16S ribosomal RNA". It matches the Rfam family "Bacterial small subunit ribosomal RNA", at positions 524 to 776 of the family's 1533-position model. The record is from RNAcentral.